RNAcentral lists this long non-coding RNA (242 nucleotides) under Capsicum annuum. Its description in RNAcentral is "long non-coding RNA (CANN_LNC002735)". The record is from RNAcentral. Lineage: Eukaryota; Viridiplantae; Streptophyta; Magnoliopsida; Solanales; Solanaceae.
GGGGGGGUAUCACUAUGCAUAAGAACACAAACUCCCCUUGACAACUUUGAUAUGAAAACACUAAAUUCUUUUAGGACACCUCCUUCAGGGAUACUAAUCUUGACUCCAUUAAGCCCCCGAAGUUAUCCCCUUAUAACUGACAUUUUCAUAGGCAUAGACAUAUGUGCUUUCAAACACUUAACACUCCAUUUUCAACUCUUUAGAAUACUAGCAUCACACUUCUAAGAUCAUAACCUCAUAAC